Molecule: transfer RNA, 71 nt
Filed under: Auchenoplax crinita
Lineage: Eukaryota; Metazoa; Annelida; Polychaeta; Terebellida; Ampharetidae
Description: tRNA-Val
Source: RNAcentral
AAGAAUGAAGCAAUCUGAGAUGCAAUUCAUUUACAGUGAAAGAUAGGGCUGUUUGAUUCAGCUUAUUCUUA